AGUUUCUUGGAUUUAAAAAAGAAGUGGUUUCUGCCCGGUGACUUUUGUUUAACGGCUGCGGUAAUUUGACCGUGCAAAGGUAGCAUAAUCAUUUGCUUCGUAAUUGGGGGCUGGUAUGAAUGGGAGAACCAAAAUUAAAGCUUUUUUAGUUUUUGAGUUGAAAGUUUCUGUUUAGGUGAAGAAGCCUAAAAAAAAAAGGGGACAAGAAGACCCUAUUGAGCUUUACUUUUUCUUUGGUAGUUUAAACGUUUUUAUCAAGAAAAAGUUUUACUGGGGCGGUAAAAGAAGAUAAAAUCUUCUUUUCUUUUUUUAGGGAUGUGUUUCUUUGAUCCAUGCUUUUUGAGAAAAGGAAUAAGUUACCGUAGGGAUAACAGCGUAAUUUUUUUGGAAAGUUCUUAUUAAUAAAAAAGUUUGCGACCUCGAUGUUGACUUUUAAUUGCUUUUUGGUGCAGAAGCCAAAAUGGUGGGUCUGUUCGACCCUUAAAAUUAA
RNAcentral lists this ribosomal RNA (490 nucleotides) under Nemertea sp. LV064. Its description in RNAcentral is "partial 16S ribosomal RNA". It matches the Rfam family "Bacterial large subunit ribosomal RNA", at positions 1817 to 2597 of the family's 2925-position model. The record is from RNAcentral. Lineage: Eukaryota; Metazoa; Nemertea.